RNAcentral lists this unclassified non-coding RNA (2737 nucleotides) under Leishmania donovani. Its description in RNAcentral is "gene:LdHU3.31.5520(CDS-product:methylcrotonoyl-co a_carboxylase_biotinylated_subunitprotein-like_protein)". The record is from RNAcentral. Lineage: Eukaryota; Euglenozoa; Kinetoplastea; Trypanosomatida; Trypanosomatidae.
UAUUGCUAUGCUGAGAAGUACGCGCACACACGCUCACUAACGUAUCAGCUUCAGAUCUGUUCUGUCUUUUUCCUUUUUUUUUUGCGUGGCGCGCAUUCGAUCUGUACUCGUUUUAUUUGCGUUGCCCGCAGUAAUGCUGCGCCGCACAGAUCGCUGCGGCCAGCGCAAGGUCGAGAAACUGCUGGUGGCGAAUCGAGGUGAGAUCGCAUGCCGCGUCUUCCGCACAUGCCGUGAGAUGCACAUCCGCACUGUGGCGCUGUUCUGCGAGGCAGAACGGAACGCGAAGCACGUCGUAGAGGCGGACGAGGCCGUCUGUAUUGGUCCUCCACCUGCGGUGAACUCCUAUCUGCGCGGUGACCAUAUCAUUAGCGUGGCAAAGCAGCUGAACGUUGAUGCGAUUCACCCCGGGUAUGGAUUUCUUUCCGAGAAUGCGGACUUCGCUGACGCUGUCACGCGCUCCGGCAUCGAGUUCAUUGGCCCACCCGCGUCUGCUAUCUCGUUGAUGGGGUCGAAGAGUGAGAGCAAGCGCAUCAUGGAGGCCGCCGGCGUUCCUGUUGUGCCGGGCUACUACGGCGAAAAUCAGAAUGUCUCCUUCCUUGCGGAGGAGGCAAACAAAGUGGGAUUCCCUAUUCUUAUCAAGGCAGUCUCGGGUGGUGGCGGCAAAGGCAUGAAGAUUGUGGAGCGGCCCGAAGAUCUUGCGUUUAUGCUGGAGAGCGCGAAGCGUGAGGCGGCCAACUUUUUCAAGGACGACCGCGUCAUUUUGGAGCGCUACGUGAAGCGCCCGCGACACAUAGAGUGCCAGAUUUUUUUCGAUAAACACGGUAGAGGGGUCUUCUUCUUCGAGCGAGAUUGCAGCGUUCAGCGCCGGUAUCAGAAGGUCCUCGAGGAGGCCCCGGCACCCCACCUGUCAAUGGAGAUGCGACAGCGCAUUGGCGAGGUAGCGUUGCAGGCUGCGAAGGCGGUUGGCUACGUGGGCGCGGGCACGGUGGAGUUCAUCUUCGACACGAGCACUGGAGAUUUUUACUUCAUGGAGAUGAACACGCGGCUACAGGUGGAGCACCCCGUGACGGAGGAGGUGUGCCGUAUCAAAGGCGCACCGCUGGACUUGGUCAAGCUGCAGAUCAAGACAGCCAUGGGUAAGCCGCUCACAUUUUCCCAGGAAGACGUAGCGUUGGUCGGCUCCUGUAUCGAGGCGCGCGUGUACGCGGAGUCGCCGGAGCGGGGGUUUCUGCCCGAGAGCGGUCCCUUGACGUUCAUCCGGGAGCCGUUUCAGGGGGUGCGCGGGCCGACGCGCACCCGACUGGACACUGGGUUUUGCGAAGGCGACAACGUACUCAUCCACUACGAUCCCAUGCUGGCCAAGGUCAUUUCGUGGGGUCGUAAUCGUGAAGAUGCGUUAAAAGGGCUUCGGCAGGCGCUGAGCGAGUACAAGGUGGCCGGUAUCAACACGAACAUCGAGUUCCUAAAGCGAUGCUGCGAGGCACCGGAGUUCACGCGCGGUGGCGUGACCACUAACUUCAUCAGCGAACAUGAAAAGCAGCUGCUCAACGCUCCAGCGGUGACGCCGGAGGUAGCGGCCAUGGCUGCCACCGCUUGGCUGCUGAACCGCUGCGAUAAUUGGCGUGGUGCGUUCCGCCUCAACGGCGACACCAAUGCCACCGUUCACUUCUACAUUGACAACCGCCCGGUAGAGGUGCGCCUGCACACGGAGGGUGCAAACUAUCACAAGAUCUUCUUCAGCGUGUGGGAUCAUGAGGGAUCGUUUGCGGUGGGCUCUGGCCCUGUGACCUCGAAGCACCGUGACCAGAGGAGCAUCGUGAACGAUUUCACGUUCCUCUUCGAGAAUGGCAUGCGCCACACGGUGUUGGCCGUCGCGACGGAAGGCGAUGUGACAAUCAUUGGCAGCUUUGGGCUGCACCAGAUUCGCCUACUGCCACUGACAGACGGAUUUGGAGACGCAUCAAUGGCGGGUGGUACCUCGGCGAAGAUCGUGAGCCCGAUGCCUGGCAAAGUGUCCAAGUUUCUCGUGAAUAGCGGCGACUUCGUCGACAAGGGACAGGCUCUCAUGAUCGUGGAGGCGAUGAAGAUGGAGCACCCCGUCAAGGCGCUGCAGGACGGCCAGGUGUCGUUUCUUGUUAAGGAGGGGGAGGUGGUCGGCAGCGACCACGUGCUUGCCACCGUCGUGCAGAAGGAGUGAUGCAGUGUGGCUCCACCCCUUGUGUCGCCCCGGACGUUCGCGAGGAGGCCUGCGCGAGGGUUUUUUUUUCUGUUGUUCUUUGUUUUGAGCUGCCCUUCACUCCUUUCUCUUCUCUCCUGUCCUUUUGAUUUUGUUGGAAUCACUGUACGCCUGAUGUGUGUGGGCGGGGCGGAUGCCCUCAUGUGCGGUGUUUACACCUCGGCACGCAUGGCGUAGAGAAUGGCUUGGAUUGGCGCACAUCGUGAGCACACAUCUUUGCAAGAAUCACAAUUUGCAAAUGGAUGCUGGUGAUGAAGUCUCUGACUUCCAGCUGCACUGUGCCAGAGCUGAGUGGUACGAAUCGCCUACUCUGGUGCAGGCCGAGAGUUUGGUUGAGGGUGAGUAUGGCACCUUGUUUAGUUGAGAAGUACGUGUCGCGAAGCACGCUCGUUAUGCGUUGCAACUUACAUCUUUUAUGUUGCUCCUCAUUCUUGCUUGCCAUCUCCUGAUAACCCUUUUUUUCGUUGACGUUGGCGCGGUGGGUGAGAGCGCUCUCCGCAG